CCCUUCUCCGUUUCUGCCCAAAAUGGAGGAACACCACUAAGCAAGAUAUAUAGUAUGACUCCUGCACUCCAAAUAUCUAAUUCCUUUCCAUAUCUGCGUCUUAAUACUUCAGGAGCAACAUAGUAUGCACUUCCGACUAUGUCUCGAUACACUUUUGCUUCUUCGAUGAAUACUGAAAGUCCAAAAUCAGUUGCCUUCAAAAGGGCAUUGUUACCCUUACUAGAAAGCAAGAAAUUCUCAGGCUUAAGAUCCCUAUGCAUCACACCCAUAAAAUGACAGGCAUGCACAACAUUGACAAUUGCCCUGCAUAUAGCAGCGGCUUCCUUCUCACUAUAGUGCCCCUUCGCAAUAAUCCUAUCAAACAACUCGCCUCCUGCACACAACUCCAUCACAAGAUGCACAGAUUGCUUAUC
RNAcentral lists this unclassified non-coding RNA (413 nucleotides) under Hevea brasiliensis (rubber tree). The record is from RNAcentral. Lineage: Eukaryota; Viridiplantae; Streptophyta; Magnoliopsida; Malpighiales; Euphorbiaceae.